GUUCCAAUUUGCUGUAUGUCAGAAGAAUCUACUAGUCUCCAGAAGUCAUUUUUGUUGUCGCUUCCAUCAAGCCGCAACCUUAACCUAGCACCCGUGAUUCCAAUAACUGUGGCUAUACAUACUGAGGUUAUGUAUUCUAAUUUUGGAAAUCCAGCAAAAUCAGAACAUGAAGAACUGUUCACCUUGAGAGGAACUGAAAGACAGCCUGCUUGAGUUGGAAUAUACUUGCUACCUCAUUCCUCUCCAUUAAACCUGACUGAGGGAACUUUUACAAUUUCUUUCUUCUUCAUUUUGAUAUCUGCAUGAGUUAUCCAGAAUUAUACACAUCAUUUUUCUAUAUUGAUAUGUCUGUACUAUCUGUAUGAAAAAGCAAGUUUAUAUUUUCUUCCAUAUAUGUUAAAAGCUGACACUUUGAUACUAACUAGGAAAAAAAUCUAUACAAUAAACUAAGAUACCUUAUGUUGAAAA
This is a long non-coding RNA of Anolis carolinensis (green anole), 468 nucleotides long. RefSeq lists it as uncharacterized. Lineage: Eukaryota; Metazoa; Chordata; Lepidosauria; Squamata; Anolidae. The transcript has 2 exons. The record is from RefSeq and is a predicted model, not a curated record.